Molecule: long non-coding RNA, 357 nt
Organism: Oncorhynchus keta (chum salmon)
Lineage: Eukaryota; Metazoa; Chordata; Actinopteri; Salmoniformes; Salmonidae
Exons: 3
Source: RefSeq, a predicted model, not a curated record
GGCCUGUUGUGGAGGUAUUGUCUGGAGAGUUGAAGGCCUGUUGUGGAGGUAUUGUCUGGAGAGUUGAAGGCCUGUUGUGGAGGUAUUGUAUGGAGAGUUGAAGGCCUGUUGUGGAGGUAUUGUCUGGAGAGUUGAAGGCCUGUUGUGGAGGUAUUGUCUGGAGAGUUGAAGGCCUGUUGUGGAGGUAUUGUAUGGAGAGUUGAAGGCCUGUUGGGGAGGUAUUGUCUGGAGAGUUGAAGGCCUGUUGGGGAGGUAUUGUCUGGAGAGUUGAAGCUCUGUUGUGGAGGUAUUGUCUGGAUAGUUGAAGGCCUGUUGGGGAGGUAUUGUCUGGAGAGUUGAAGCUCUGUUGUGGAGGUA